Salmo salar (Atlantic salmon) is the source of this 54-nucleotide non-coding RNA. NCBI's taxonomy places the organism in Eukaryota, Metazoa, Chordata, Actinopteri, Salmoniformes, Salmonidae. The record is from Rfam.
UGUAUUCACUACUGUAAGUCGCUCUGGAUAAAAGCGUCUGCUAAAUGACAAAUG